ACUCGAGUGGCGAACGGGUGAGUAACACGUGGGUGAUCUGCCCUGCACUUCGGGAUAAGCCUGGGAAACUGGGUCUAAUACCGGAUAGGACGAUGGUUUGGAUGCCAUUGUGGAAAGUUUUUCGGUGUGGGAUGAGCUCGCGGCCUAUCAGCUCGUUGGUGGGGUAAUGGCCUACCAAGGCGUCGACGGGUAGCCGGCCUGAGAGGGUGUACGGCCACAUUGGGACUGAGAUACGGCCCAG
RNAcentral lists this ribosomal RNA (241 nucleotides) under uncultured Actinomycetales bacterium. RNAcentral describes it as "partial 16S ribosomal RNA". It matches the Rfam family "Bacterial small subunit ribosomal RNA", at positions 89 to 334 of the family's 1533-position model. Lineage: Bacteria; Bacillati; Actinomycetota; Actinomycetes; Actinomycetales. The record is from RNAcentral.